RNAcentral lists this long non-coding RNA (307 nucleotides) under Lupinus angustifolius (narrow-leaved blue lupine). Its description in RNAcentral is "long non-coding RNA (LANG_LNC000091)". The record is from RNAcentral. Lineage: Eukaryota; Viridiplantae; Streptophyta; Magnoliopsida; Fabales; Fabaceae.
GCUUAAAGUUAAUACAGAUGGCUCUACCCAUGUUGCCCCCGGUCAUGCAGGAGGAGGAGGUAUUUUCAGAGAUCAUCAUGGAAAUUUCAUAGCUUGUUUGCAACCUAUCUGCAUAUCAACAAUGCUCUGUUUGCUGAAUUGCAUACGGCAAUCCUUGCUAUUGAGAUAGCUAAUCACAAAGGUUGGAAGAACCUUUGGCUGGAAUGUGACUCAACAUUGGUGGUUAGUAUUUUCAAAGGGUCAAUCAAUCCUCCUUCAAAUUACAUAACAGAUUUGUUAGAUGCAAGCUUCUCUUGAGUAAUAUGAA